GCAUGUGGUUUAAUUCGACGCAACGCGAAGAACCUUACCUGGGUUUGACAUCCUCUGACCGUCUGGGAAACCAGAUUUUUCCGGCUUUGUCGGAACAGAGUGACAGGUGCUGCAUGGCUGUCGUCAGCUCGUGUCGUGAGAUGUUGGGUUAAGUCCCGCAACGAGCGUAACCCUUGUCUUUAGUUGCCAUUAUUAAGUUAGGCACUCUAAAGAGACUGCCUCGGUUAACGGGGAGGAAGGUGGGGAUGACGUCAAGUCCUCAUGGCCUUUAUAUCCAGGGCUACACACGUGCUACAAUGGGCUGUACAAAGGGUUGCUAUCCCGCGAGGGGGCGCUAAUCCCAAAAAGCAGUUCUCAGUUCGGAUUGAAGUCUGCAACUCGACUUCANGAAGGUGGAAUCGCUAGUAAUCGUGGAUCAGCAUGCCACGGUGAAUACGUUCCCGGGCCUUGUACACACCGCCCGUCACACCACGAAAGUCGACUGUCCAGAAGUUGCUGGGC
Molecule: ribosomal RNA, 501 nt
Filed under: uncultured delta proteobacterium
Lineage: Bacteria; Deltaproteobacteria
Description: bacterial SSU rRNA
Rfam family: Bacterial small subunit ribosomal RNA
Source: RNAcentral